This 544-nucleotide long non-coding RNA is filed under the name Phoenix dactylifera (date palm). RNAcentral describes it as "long non-coding RNA (PDAC_LNC011713)". The record is from RNAcentral. Lineage: Eukaryota; Viridiplantae; Streptophyta; Magnoliopsida; Arecales; Arecaceae.
AUCUAAAGAUGAGACAAAGAAUACUAAAUGUAAAGUGGUAUUAAACUUUGUGCUUCAUUGAAUAUCUUUUGAAAGUUGGAUUUCCAUCUGUAUUCAUCGGUAAAUUAUUUAUUUCUGAAAAUUUAAUUGAAAAGGAUUCCAUCUGUCUUAGUUUCGAAAAUUUAUCUUGGAAUCUACUAAUGAGCUCUUAUUGGCUUGCACUUUAGUGUUUCAAUCCUGAGCCAAUUCAUUUUAAUUGAUUUUGAUGCUAUGAUCUUUAAAGGAGUAAAAGAAAGUCUUUAAGAGAGCUUUAAAAGAACUUCCAAAGCCCUGAAUUUUAUGUAUCCUACAUUGCAUAAAUUCAUAUUUUGGUAUCUAUGCUCCAAUACUUUUAUAUCAUGAAAGAACUUUGAAGUCAUUAAGAAUUAAGGAUUCAACAUAAUCUUAUGUUUUUCGAGUAUAUAAAUUUUGAUCUUUAUCUGCUCUUAUACUAUACUCUAAAAAUUAAUUAGAUUGCUCUCAUGUUGCUAUAUACUUAAUAUAUUAAAAAAAAAGGGUAUUGGAU